Molecule: transfer RNA, 82 nt
Filed under: Paenibacillus oceani
Lineage: Bacteria; Bacillati; Bacillota; Bacilli; Caryophanales; Paenibacillaceae
Also listed under: 3 other names
Rfam family: tRNA
About the family: Transfer RNA (tRNA) molecules are approximately 80 nucleotides in length. Their secondary structure includes four short double-helical elements and three loops (D, anti-codon, and T loops). Further hydrogen bonds mediate the characteristic L-shaped molecular structure. tRNAs have two regions of fundamental functional importance: the anti-codon, which is responsible for specific mRNA codon recognition, and the 3' end, to which the tRNAs corresponding amino acid is attached (by aminoacyl-tRNA synthetases). tRNAs cope with the degeneracy of the genetic code in two manners: having more than one tRNA (with a specific anti-codon) for a particular amino acid; and 'wobble' base-pairing, i.e. permitting non-standard base-pairing at the 3rd anti-codon position.
Source: Rfam by way of RNAcentral
GCGGUCGUGGUGGAACGGCAGACACGCUAUCUUGAGGGGGUAGUGCCCAUCGGGUGUGAGGGUUCAAAUCCCUCCGACCGCA